RNAcentral lists this long non-coding RNA (689 nucleotides) under Gossypium raimondii (Peruvian cotton). RNAcentral describes it as "long non-coding RNA (GRAI_LNC005689)". Lineage: Eukaryota; Viridiplantae; Streptophyta; Magnoliopsida; Malvales; Malvaceae. The record is from RNAcentral.
GGAUAUUAGAGACUUUCUUCAUUGAAUGUAGAAAGCAAGGGGAAGAACCCUUGAUAGAAGUAUCCCAAAAAUUCUACCUUCUAACUUUAUAUAUUGAACCCCGCCAAUGAGGAAUGAUAUAUUUUAAAGCAUGCCCUCAACAUGAGUCAAUUCUAAUAAUUUUAGCUUCUAGUAACUUGCAUUUAGAUUGAUAAAAAUUUAUAUGAUGUCGAUGUGGUUAAUGGAAGAUGAGAAGAACGUAAAUUGAUAGUGUUAUUAAGAGAAAUCAAGGUUCACACUUAGUCACGCCGAGGGCCUUUUAAUGACUAAGAGCCAUAUAGGUACCCUAGGGACAAGCGGCCUUUCCUCGAGCAUUCAUAGGAUGAGUCAUGAGUUCUUAUAGACACAUAUGUUGGAAAAUUAGGCGGGAUCUUCACUCUUUUCCUAGUAAUGGACUUUGGCGAAGUGUGUGUUCAUUGAGGUCUUUGGUUGAAUAUGAUAGGUGCUGGUGAACUAUGGUGAGGUGUAUAACAAAGCAUGUUUCUCUUUCUAGUAUCUACGCAUUCACCCGGAUUUAAGAGGGAACUCAAAAUUUAGUGCACAUUUGCAAAUCUUAGCAGUGGUGGCGCCAUCUUUGAUUGUGAUUAUUAUUCUUUUUUAUCUAAAAACUUUACCCACACGAACCACACUAACAAUUGUUGGUUGUAUUG